Molecule: ribosomal RNA, 858 nt
Filed under: Triticum aestivum (bread wheat)
Lineage: Eukaryota; Viridiplantae; Streptophyta; Magnoliopsida; Poales; Poaceae
Description: partial small subunit ribosomal RNA
Source: RNAcentral
AUGCUUCGGGCUGUUUUGAAGAAUAAUAAGAAAAUGUGGGAGGAAUGCUUGCCUCAUAUUGAAUUUGCUUAUAAUCGUUCAUUGCAUUCUACUACUAAGAUGUGCCCUUUUGAAGUUGUGUAUGGUUUCCUACCUCGUGCACCUAUUGAUUUGUUGCCUCUUCCAUCUUCGGAGAAGGUUAAUUUUGAUGCUAAACAACGUGCUGAAUUGAUUUUAAAAAUGCAUGAGUUAACUAAGGAAAACAUUGAGCGUAUGAAUGCUAAAUAUAAACUUGCUGGAGAUAAGGGUAGAAAACAUGUUGUGUUUGCACCUGGAGAUCUUGUUUGGUUACAUUUGCGUAAGGAUAGAUUUCCUGAUUUGCGCAAAUCAAAGUUAAUGCCAUGUGCGGAUGGUCCCUUUAAAGUGUUAGAGAAAAUAAAUGAUAAUGCAUAUAAACUUGAGCUGCCUGCAGAUUUUGGGGUUAGUCCCACUUUUAACAUUGCAGAUUUGAAGCCUUAUUUGGGUGAGGAAGAUGAACUUCCGUCGAGGACGACUUUAUUUCAAGAAGGGGAGGAUGAUGAGGACAUCAAUACAAUUGUUACACCCACAGCCCCUGCUGCUAUAAAUACUGGACCAAUUACUAGAGCUCGCGCACGCCAACUAAAUUACCAGGUACUUUCGUUUCUUGGUAAUGAUUCUAAUGUUCAUGAGAAUAUGAUGCUGCCUAAAUUGGAUACAUUUGUUUUGCUUACAAAUGAAGGGCCGAGCUUGGAGAAGGAUGAACAUUGGAUUAAGAACAAGCAUGGAGAUGAUGGCAUGCGCAAGGGGAACAAGAACGGAGUUACAAGUGAUGAUUUCAGGACUAUGAAGCCACCAUAA